GAGGCUUAGCUCAGCUGGUUAGAGCGCUUGCUUCACACGCAAGAGGCCACUGGUUCGAGUCCAGUAGUCUCC
This 72-nucleotide transfer RNA is filed under the name human gut metagenome. It matches the Rfam family "tRNA". Rfam says of the family: Transfer RNA (tRNA) molecules are approximately 80 nucleotides in length. The record is from RNAcentral.